This 495-nucleotide ribosomal RNA is filed under the name uncultured bacterium. RNAcentral describes it as "partial 16S ribosomal RNA". It matches the Rfam family "Bacterial small subunit ribosomal RNA", at positions 28 to 507 of the family's 1533-position model. The record is from RNAcentral.
GACGAACGCUGGCGGCGUGCCUAAUACAUGCAAGUAGAACGCUGAAGGAGUAGCUUGCUCUUCUGGAUGAGUUGCGAACGGGUGAGUAACGCGUAGGUAACCUGCCUUGUAGCUUGGGAUAACUAUUGGAAACUAUAGCUAAUACCGCAUAACAGCAGAUGUUGCAUGACAUUUACUUAAAAGGUGCAAUUGCAGCACUACCAGAUGGACCUGCGUUGUAUUAGCUAGUUGGUGGGGUAACGGCUCACCAAGGCGACGAUACAUAGCCGACCUGCGAGGGGGAGCGGCCACACUGGGACUGAGACCCGGCCCAGAGUCCUACGGGAGGCAGCAGUAGGGAAUCUUCGGCAAUGGACGGAAGUCUGACCGAGAAACGCAGAGUGAGUGAAGAAGGUCUUCGGAUCGUAAAGCUCUGUUGUAAGGGAAGAACGAGUGUGAGAGUGGAAAGUUCACACUGUGACGGUAUCUUACCAGAAAGGGACGGCUAACUACGUG